This 1133-nucleotide long non-coding RNA is filed under the name Equus caballus (horse). RNAcentral's name for it is "lncRNA (ENSECAG00000053280.1)". Lineage: Eukaryota; Metazoa; Chordata; Mammalia; Perissodactyla; Equidae. The record is from RNAcentral.
AAACAAGUGACAUAAUGCAGGCAUCCUUAAGCUUCCCUUCCUCAAGUUACCCUUGACCAGAUGAUGCUCAGAGGCGUGACACACUCCCUGGGCUUUGCCAGGACAUAGGAGCAAGGCCUGGCUGCUUGCUGUCACUCCAACCCUUCUCCCCUUCCCAUAAAAAAGAACGGAUGCCAGUGAGUGAAGAAGCCAUCAUGGAGAGGCAAAGGAAACAGAAAGAAGCCUGGGACUAAAAUCUAGGAUGAGCGUCAAGGAGGAAAGCGACAGGGCAUUUCCCUUCUCUGUGACAGAGGGACUCAAGCUGACCAACCAUCCUAGUUUGCCUGGGACUGUUCCAGUUUAGUACCCAAAGUCCCUGGAAACCACCCAGUCUUGGACCAACUGGAGCAGCUGGUCACCUAGCAGGUACUUGCAUCAGCUACUGUCUUACGGAAUUCUUGGCAAAGCAACUUUCUCUGAGCUGCUGGGGCAGUGGCAGAGGACAGAGAAGCAUCUGAACACCCCAUGACUCUCCAUGUCCCUGCACAGUCACUGGGCUUUGGGGGCCCGGCAUCUGCGAAUCUCUCCAUCCUUACCUGUCACCAUUCUCCAUGUCAUUCUUCAUUCCAACCGCCCUUGUGUCAUUUCAGUUCCAUAAAUAUGUGAAGCUCUUUCUAGCCUCAGGGUCUUUGCACAUGCUGUUCCCUCUGCCUGGCACGCUCCUCCCAGACUCCUUUCACUUUGGAUCUGAUGUCACCUCCCCCAAGGGCCCUCUCUAGCAGUCCUACCUAAGGCAGGGGUCUCCUGUUAUCUCCUUUCUCAGCGGCUGGUGCUUUGCUUUAGAGCGCUCACCACCUGCAAGCCUGUCCCUCUCUUUCUGGCUCAAACCAGACUGGACCUCCAGCAUCACGAGCGCAGAGCUGACUCAGUCUAGCCCAGCCUCAUAGUCUCAGGGCCGUGCCCAGGGCCUGGCACACAGUCGGUGUCCAAUAGAUACUGCUCAAGUGCAGCAAUGUCAUGCUUGAGGCCUGUGAAUCAUGCAAGGAACCCAUUCCCCCUCAAACCCACAGAGCGUAUUUAUCCACGGUUUUCACAGCAGUCCCCUCUUCCCAUUCCGGGUCAGAGGUCACAGAUUGGAAAUUCCUUUCGGCCAC